UACGAAGGUCCCAAGUGUUGUUCGGAAUCACUGGGCGUAAAGGGAGCGUAGGCGGCGUGGUAAGUCAGAUGUGAAAUCCCGGGGCUCAACCCCGGAACUGCAUCCGAUACUGCCAUGCUUGAGGGUUGGAGAGGUAGCUGGAAUUCUCGGUGUAGCAGUGAAAUGCGUGGAUAUCGAGAGGAACACUCGUGGCGAAGGCGAGCUACUGGACAACAUCUGACGCUGAGGCUCAAAGGCCAGGGGAGCAAAAGGG
RNAcentral lists this ribosomal RNA (253 nucleotides) under uncultured bacterium. Its description in RNAcentral is "partial 16S ribosomal RNA". It matches the Rfam family "Bacterial small subunit ribosomal RNA", at positions 524 to 776 of the family's 1533-position model. The record is from RNAcentral.